RNAcentral lists this ribosomal RNA (542 nucleotides) under Salmonella enterica. RNAcentral's name for it is "bacterial SSU rRNA". It matches the Rfam family "Bacterial small subunit ribosomal RNA", at positions 1 to 534 of the family's 1533-position model. The record is from RNAcentral. Lineage: Bacteria; Pseudomonadati; Pseudomonadota; Gammaproteobacteria; Enterobacterales; Enterobacteriaceae.
AAAUUGAAGAGUUUGAUCAUGGCUCAGAUUGAACGCUGGCGGCAGGCCUAACACAUGCAAGUCGAACGGUAGCACAGAGAGCUUGCUCUCGGGUGACGAGUGGCGGACGGGUGAGUAAUGUCUGGGAAACUGCCUGAUGGAGGGGGAUAACUACUGGAAACGGUGGCUAAUACCGCAUAACGUCGCAAGACCAAAGAGGGGGACCUUCGGGCCUCUUGCCAUCAGAUGUGCCCAGAUGGGAUUAGCUGGUUGGUGAGGUAACGGCUCACCAAGGCGACGAUCCCUAGCUGGUCUGAGAGGAUGACCAGCCACACUGGAACUGAGACACGGUCCAGACUCCUACGGGAGGCAGCAGUGGGGAAUAUUGCACAAUGGGCGCAAGCCUGAUGCAGCCAUGCCGCGUGUAUGAAGAAGGCCUUCGGGUUGUAAAGUACUUUCAGCGGGGAGGAAGGUGUUGUGGUUAAUAACCGCAGCAAUUGACGUUACCCGCAGAAGAAGCACCGGCUAACUCCGUGCCAGCAGCCGCGGUAAUACGGAGGGUG